This 254-nucleotide ribosomal RNA is filed under the name uncultured bacterium. RNAcentral's name for it is "partial 16S ribosomal RNA". It matches the Rfam family "Bacterial small subunit ribosomal RNA", at positions 524 to 777 of the family's 1533-position model. The record is from RNAcentral.
UACGAAGGGGGCUAGCGUUGUUCGGAUUUACUGGGCGUAAAGGGUGCGUAGGCGGGUUUUUAAGUCAGGGGUGAAAUCCUGGAGCUCAACUCCAGAACUGCCUUUGAUACUGAAGAUCUUGAGUCCGGGAGAGGUGAGUGGAACUGCGAGUGUAGAGGUGAAAUUCGUAGAUAUUCGCAAGAACACCAGUGGCGAAGGCGGCUCACUGGCCCGGUACUGACGCUGAGGCACGAAAGUGUGGGGAUCAAACAGGG